CUACGGGGCGCUCCAGUGAGGAAUAUUGCACAAUGGGGGAACCCCGAUGCAGCAACGCCGCGUGGAGGAUGACGCAUUUCGGUGUGUAAACUCCUUUUAUAUGUCAAGGAAAUGACGGUAGCAUAUGAAUAAGCACCGGCUAACUCCGUGCCAGCAGCCGCGGUAAUACGGAGGGUGCAAGCGUUACUCGGAAUCACUGGGCGUAAAGGACGCGUAGGCGGGUUGAAAAGUCAGGUGUGAAAUCCUACAGCUUAACUGUAGAACUGCACUUGAAACUUCUAAUCUAGAGUAUGGGAGGGGGAGAUGGAAUUAGUGGUGUAGGGGUAAAAUCCGUAGAUAUCACUAGGAAUACCUAAAGCGAAGGCGAUCUCCUGGAACAUUACUGACGCUAAGGCGUGAAAGCGUGGGGAGCAAACAGGAUUAGAUACCCGGGUAGUC
RNAcentral lists this ribosomal RNA (438 nucleotides) under uncultured bacterium. RNAcentral describes it as "partial 16S ribosomal RNA". It matches the Rfam family "Bacterial small subunit ribosomal RNA", at positions 339 to 795 of the family's 1533-position model. The record is from RNAcentral.